Molecule: ribosomal RNA, 430 nt
Filed under: uncultured bacterium
Lineage: Bacteria
Description: bacterial SSU rRNA
Rfam family: Bacterial small subunit ribosomal RNA
Source: RNAcentral
AAGCUUGCUUCUGGAUUUCUGUUUUGCUUAGUGGCGACGGGUGAGUAACGCGUGAGCAACCUGCCUUACAGAGGGGGACAACAGUUGGAAACGACUGCUAAUACCGCAUAACGUGCCGAGAGGACAUCCUUUUGGGUACCAAAGGAGCAAUCCGCUGUAAGAUGGGCUCGCGUCCGAUUAGAUAGUUGGUGAGGUAAACGGCCCACCAAGUCGACGAUCGGUAGCCGGACUGAGAGGUUGAACGGCCACAUUGGGACUGAGACACGGCCCAGACUCCUACGGGAGGCAGCAGUGGGGGAUAUUGCACAAUGGAGGAAACUCUGAUGCAGCAACGCCGCGUGAGGGAAGAAGGUUUUCGGAUUGUAAACCUCUGUUUUUAGUGAAGAAACAAAUGACGGUAGCUAAAGAGGAAGCCACGGCUAACUACGUG